This 465-nucleotide ribosomal RNA is filed under the name uncultured bacterium. Its description in RNAcentral is "partial 16S ribosomal RNA". It matches the Rfam family "Bacterial small subunit ribosomal RNA", at positions 338 to 795 of the family's 1533-position model. The record is from RNAcentral.
CCUACGGGAGGCUGCAGUAGGGAAUCUUCCACAAUGGGCGAAAGCCUGAUGGAGCAACGCCGCGUGGGUGAAGAAGGUCUUCGGAUCGUAAAACCCUGUUGUUAGAGAAGAAAGUGCGUGAGAGUAACUGUUCACGUUUCGACGGUAUCUAACCAGAAAGCCACGGCUAACUACGUGCCAGCAGCCGCGGUAAUACGUGGGUGGCAAGCGUUAUCCGGAUUUAUUUGGCGUAAAGGGAACGCAGGCGGUCUGUUAAGUCUGAUGUGAAAGCCUUCGGCUUAACCGGAGUAGUGCAUUGGAAACUGGGAGACUUGAGUGCAGAAGAGGAGAGUGGAACUCCAUGGGUAGCGGUGAAAUGCGUAGAUAUAUGGAAGAACACCAGUGGCGAAAGCGGCUCUCUGGUCUGUAACUGACGCUGAGGUUCGAAAGCGUGGGUAGCAAACAGGAUUAGAUACCCGGGUAGUC